RNAcentral lists this long non-coding RNA (853 nucleotides) under Apteryx rowi (Okarito brown kiwi). RNAcentral's name for it is "lncRNA (ENSARWG00000004640.1)". Lineage: Eukaryota; Metazoa; Chordata; Aves; Apterygiformes; Apterygidae. The record is from RNAcentral.
UUAGUCUGCUGUGUCAGAGACCCUGCAGGGGCAGCUGGAGGAGCUGGAGAGGGCUGCUGCCCGCUUGGAAAAGCUCUGCCCUGCUCGGAUGUGUACUGUCAGCCCAGAGGUGCAGGGAGCCCGGCAGGCCUGGGAAGGACUGCAGAAGCUGCUAAGGGAGAACAAGGCCCACGUGCAACAGGCUGGCCGGCUGCGGCAGUUCUUCAAGGAUUAUUUAGCCAUGAUCUCCUGGACAGAGGACACACGGGCUCAGAUCUUCUCAGAAAGCCCAGGCAGCCAUGGCCUUUUGGACACUCAGUGUGAGGAACUGGAGAGGAAGAUUGAAGGCAAGUUCAAGGAGUUUGAGGAACUGGCGGCAGUGGGGCAUACGUUGGUGUCUGAGGAGCACUAUCUGAGCGAGACGAUAAAGGAGCGCAUGGAGGAGCUGCAGAGCAUGCUGGGCUGGGUGCUGGUACGUUGGCGAGCGCAGAAACACCAGUGGGACCCUGGGAGCAAGCAGGAAGACAGAAAGAACCAUGAAAGUCCCUUGGGUGCGUCCUCCACCGGCCAGGAGCAGCAAGUCCUAUGCAUUCAGCCCCAUGCAGAGAGCAUCCUUAGCCUGAAAGGGUUUGCACCCUCCUCUCUGCCCGAAUCUAUGCAAGAAUUAGAGCUGCAGCCGCAGGUGCUGGAGGAAACAGCCAUCUCCCCUGCAGUGUCACCCCUCUUGGAUGCCCUGUUGGGACCGGAGCCCAGCAGCUCGGCGCCCCAUGGUGCGGGACCCCCUGAGGAGGAGGGUCUCAUCUGGGAUCCCUCCGAGACCUCCAUGAUGUUGCUGCCGCCACGGGGGGCUGGCAGCCUGGGGGGGACAGUCAAC